RNAcentral lists this ribosomal RNA (528 nucleotides) under Triticum aestivum (bread wheat). RNAcentral's name for it is "partial small subunit ribosomal RNA". Lineage: Eukaryota; Viridiplantae; Streptophyta; Magnoliopsida; Poales; Poaceae. The record is from RNAcentral.
AUGCUAGCGAAGCGGUGGUCCAUGGUGCCUUCGUCGUUGUCGUCCUCGGCAGAAGGUGAGGCCAAGAUGGAUCUCAACAUUCUUUGUGAUAUUCGUCAUCCAUGGAAGAUGCAGAAGAAAAACUCAUGCAGAUCGAGCGAAGAAGAGAAGAGGAAGGAUCUUGAGGAAGAGGAAAAAAACAAGGCAAUGGGACUAUUGACUGGUACACAUGAAUCUAAGGUCCAGAUUCUAGCUACACCCUUUACUACAACAAUCUCAGGCUUUACUGAAAAAUGUACUACUUAUAUAGUUGAUAUCUUCAAUUCAUAUGGUCGUCCGCUGGAUGAUCACUGGUCUUCGGUUCAUAUGGUCACUGGCUGGAAGCUUGCUGUUAUGUUUGCUUCAUAUGGUGGUCGACUGGAAGCUCGCGGUCUGAAUGAUCUCAUUGUCUAUGGCCAGCAAUACACACUUUUCAUUACUACGAGCCAGGGGUUCACGGGCCAUCAUGAUGAUAUACUUGGUUCUUUAAAGAAGAAUGGUAAGAACUAA